CCUACGGGGGGCAGCAGUGAGGAAUAUUGGUCAAUGGGCGUAAGCCUGAACCAGCCAAGUCGCGUGAGGGAUGAAGGUUCUAUGGAUCGUAAACCUCUUUUAUAAGGGAAUAAAGUGCGGGACGUGUCCCGUUUGGUAUGUACCUUAUGAAUAAGGAUCGGCUAACUCCGUGCCAGCAGCCGCGGUAAUACGGAGGAUCCGAGCGUUAUCCGGAUUUAUUGGGUUUAAAGGGUGCGUAGGCGGCCUUUUAAGUCAGCGGUGAAAGUCUGUGGCUCAACCAUAGAAUUGCCGUUGAAACUGGGAGGCUGGGGUAUGUUUGAGGCAGGCGGAAUGCGUGGUGUAGCGGUGAAAUGCUUAGAUAUCACGCAGAACCCCGAUUGCGAAGGCAGCCUGCCAAGCCAUGACUGACGCUGAUGCACGAAAGCGUGGGGAUCAAACAGGAUUAGAUACCCCUGUAGUC
Molecule: ribosomal RNA, 460 nt
Filed under: uncultured bacterium
Lineage: Bacteria
Description: partial 16S ribosomal RNA
Rfam family: Bacterial small subunit ribosomal RNA
Source: RNAcentral